CAGGCAGCCCUCAGGGCCCCUCCUUUCCCACGCUAAGAGCUGAUGCGACGUGUGCCCGCGUGCACCAGAAGCGCUAGAGGAGCGCGACCACGAUAGCUCGCCUCUCCUCCCUCCCUCUCUCUCGCAGUGAGUCCUGGAGGUCCAAAACAACAUCCUGAGACCGUGGUUUCGACCCCAGCCUCUCUCUGUACCCCCAUGCACGCCAUGGUGGAUCACCCGCGCUCCCAAGUCGGCUCACUGUCGCGAGCCUAUAAAUAGCCCCUCCCCUCGCUCUAGAACCCCUGACUCCACCUCAUCGAGACCUCAAUAACCUCCCUAGCCACCCCAUUGAGCAAGCAGAGCCCCGGUGCUCGAGAUCGAUCGAGGCCCCUCCGCCUCGGAGCUCCGGUCGAUCUCCGGCUACACGUCGAC
This 411-nucleotide long non-coding RNA is filed under the name Hordeum vulgare. Its description in RNAcentral is "long non-coding RNA (HVUL_LNC015794)". The record is from RNAcentral. Lineage: Eukaryota; Viridiplantae; Streptophyta; Magnoliopsida; Poales; Poaceae.